This 484-nucleotide ribosomal RNA is filed under the name uncultured bacterium. RNAcentral describes it as "bacterial SSU rRNA". It matches the Rfam family "Bacterial small subunit ribosomal RNA", at positions 28 to 526 of the family's 1533-position model. The record is from RNAcentral.
GACGAACGCUGGCGGCGUGCUUAACACAUGCAAGUCGAACGGUAAGGCCCCUUCGGGGGUACACGAGUGGCGAACGGGUGAGUAACACGUGAGCAACCUACCCUUGACUCUGGAAUAAGCAUUCGAAAGGAUGUCUAAUGCCGGAUAUCCACCUUGGUCGACAUCAACCGGGGUGUAAAGCUUUUGCGGUCAUGGAUGGGCUCGCGGCCUAUCAGCUAGUUGGUGAGGUAACGGCUCACCAAGGCGUCGACGGGUAGCCGGCCUGAGAGGGCGACCGGCCACACUGGGACUGAGAUACGGCCCAGACUCCUACGGGAGGCAGCAGUGGGGAAUAUUGCACAAUGGGCGGAAGCCUGAUGCAGCAACGCCGCGUGCGGGAUGACGGCCUUCGGGUUGUAAACCGCUUUCAGCAGGGACGAAGCGCAAGUGACGGUACCUGCAGAAGAAGCACCGGCCAACUACGUGCCAGCCGCCGCCGUAACAC